GUCGUUGUUAGUUGGUUGAAGCCUGGAAGAUUUUGAUCAACUGUUUAUUUGCUGUGGAACGUGUUUGAGAUAAUUUUGGAGAUUUGAAAUAUAUGGAUAAAAUGUAGCAAUAGCAGUCUGAAAAGUAAUUGAUGCAAACAUUUUACAUGUUUUUUGUCUGUUUUCCAAAUCCCAGUUAUAUUUCUGUUAUUUGUUCUGACUAUUUCAGGUUACCAGCCAUUAUUCUAUUUAGCUCGCAAAACAGCAAGACUGUAAGGAAAUUAGAAUGUGAAGACUGGUUAGUUUUUAUAUUUAACAGCCUUCAAUUUUCCAAUCCAAUUUACAUUUUUGGAUUGUUUCACAAGGUAUAUUCAGCCUCAUAGAGAUGAUUUACCUCCUAACAGAAAAAAAAUAUUCUGAGUUACAAAUGUCUGAGUUAAAUCAAACAUUCCUUUAAUGCCUUCUAGUCAAGUUGAAACUCAGGGAUACUUUUUAGACAAUGUUGUUCUUUUUUUGUAGUUUUUUCUUUUUUUUUUUUUUACAUUUUCCAUUCAUUCUGCAGCUCAGAGUGAAUAAUCUGACACCUUGUUUGCAUCAGUGUGAAAGUUCAAGUUACUGUGGUCUAGAGGAGCAUGUUAGUUCUCUCAGCAAAAUAUUAUUUUAACAAUUGAUGUACAUUAAAUGUAAGUCUUUGCCAUACAAAAGUAAUCCUCCAUUGCAAUAGGCUUUGUCAGGAAAAGAGCCCAUGAUGUAAACACCCAGUUCAAGUUCAGCAUGAUUAGCUCCAAUCCAAGACCCUCACUGAGUAAACUUCUGGUUAAGAGUUCAUGUAGAUCCUAUUCCAAACCUCAAAUACUCUUCUGUCUAAAUUUGUGACAGAGGAUCACUGAUGUUCCACAACUAUUUAACACCAGAUUUGUUGUUGUUUUUACACUCUCACCCAAGUCAUAUCCUCUAUCAGCCCUUUAGGCCCCUUCAGCUCCAGCCUCAGUCCCAGUAUCAGCUCCAACACAGGCCACAGCUGCUUUGUAUUUGCCCCUCUUUUCUCCUCCGAGCCGAGUUGUUUCAGUUCUGCUGCCAGGGUCAUAAUUAACAUUUCAGCUUGUGAUGGAAAAGGCCUGCGAGCCCUCCCUCCGUCCCUUGCUCCGGAAUGAGGAAACUCCAACAGUAUUCACAUGGUUCUAAGAGGGGGUGUUAAACAUCUGAUUAACACUUUCCCUCCCAGAUUUUCCAUUUAAACUUUUAAUGAGGGGAUGCAUGUGCAGAUGUUUGUGUUUGUAGUCGAUCCAUAUGCUCCUGUUAACCUUUCAUCCUUCUCAGUAGUUCAGACAGACUCUCUUAAAUAAAAGAAAAACAGACUAAUGAAACAUCCAACUACGUGAACAGAAUCAGACUUCACUUCCAUAUGAACUGCUGAUGGUUUAAAUGAAUCCAGAGCUGCGUUUUGCUCUCGUUUCGCUCUCAGAUUACUGUCAGCGAUGCCGUUGCCAGAACCUGUCACAGAGUUUGUCUUCACGCUAAUUUGCAAUUGUGGAUAUUAUAUUUCGACACAGCAAUGAUGGAUGGUGGCGAGCCAAACAUUGCAAGUAUGAGCUGACUGCUGCCUCAGCUAAAAAGGAAAAUUGCAUAAAUUUUUAAGGUGUUCCUGCAAUGUGUUGUGCUACGUACAUAAAAGCAUUGAUGAUUACUGCUCGUAAAGAGAAGAAUUUGUGUCAAGUACAGUGGAAGGGUUACAUUAGCAGAUAUAACAAAUAGGAGUGGCUAAAGCAGGAAUAUAUAUAUGUAUAUAUAAAAAUUUGCCUUUUCAUGUUUGCACAGUUCCUACAAGUUCUGCACCUGAAUUUAUCAUGAAGGAUGAAAUGUGCAGUAUGCACAUGCUUAAAAUGAACUUUUUAAAGUUAAUUACAGUUCAAGUUUUUUAUAUGCAAAUACGCCCAAAUUAUAUCAUAUGAUGUAUUUUAUUUUAAGACACAUUCAUUGUCACAAUCUGUCUUUUGCAAUAUCAAACUCCUGAAAAACGAUUAGAAAUUAACAUUAAUUUAACAGGGAAUUAAGGUUGAGCUUCCUAAUGUAGACUAAUGAGAGUGAUGCAUUAAUUUUACCAGGUCACCCAGUGCUGCCAGAGCCAUACUUGCCUUAAUUGCAUUUUUCUCUUCCGAGGUGAUGAAAGAAGCACUGGAGUCAACGGUCAAGCGAACAGCAGAAGAAACAGAGAAAACAGAGCCUUCCUGCAGCUGACACACCAGUAUUAAGAAAUAAUUGAAAAUGCAAAUGAAGAUGAGGAGUCACCGGCACUGCUCAUCUUCCCCCGGCUGGCUUACCUGGAAGGUGGCAUGUAAGGUUAAUUGGGAAACGAAGUUGAGAGAGUAAUUAAUGCAUUUGUCAGCAGUGUCUUUCUCUGAGCCUGUAGCCGUCACGCAGCAGUCAGGCCGAUUCUUCUCGGCCUGUCUCGCCAGGCUGUUCUGGUGCUGCUGGUGAGAUGCUGCUCUGAUACAGCGAGCGAGUCUCAGAUGCACAGCAAGGCCAUUGUUUUCAGGAGAGUGGGAGGAUGGCAAAGUCAGUCAACUUCACAUUAAACAAAGACAAAAGAUUCAGGAACCUUCCAAAUAAGUAUGUAAUUAUUAUUCAAAUGUAUAACAGUUCUAGAGCAAAGCAUGACUAAAAAAAAAAAAAAAUUCUUGUGCUUUUGGA
Xiphophorus hellerii (green swordtail) is the source of this 2670-nucleotide long non-coding RNA. RefSeq lists it as uncharacterized. The transcript is spliced from 2 exons. The record is from RefSeq and is a predicted model, not a curated record. NCBI's taxonomy places the organism in Eukaryota, Metazoa, Chordata, Actinopteri, Cyprinodontiformes, Poeciliidae.